CCCUGCCUCAGUCUCCCAAGUAGUUGGGACCAAAGGUAUUCACAUGACCGGAUUCACAUCUCUCAGAUUUAGUUAACACACUUCAACAGUGCGACUAAAAGGAACCACACCCAGAGCUUGCAAGCCAGUGCCCUGCUCAUCCCUGCACCAGGGUGGAGGAAUAGUCACCAAAGGUGGGGAUUGUCUUCAGGAUCCAGUCAACCAGAAGGUCCAUCUCCCCAGCCUUGUAGAAGUCAAGACCACUUGCCUGCUUGCAACUGGGGUAUUGCAUUGGUUUUCUAUGGCUUCUGUAACAAAUUACCACAAACUUGGUGGCUUAAAACAACUGAAAUUAAUUCCCGCACAGUUCUGGAGGCUAGAAUUCUGAAGCGGUUCCACUGGGCUAAAAUCAGUGCUUUCACAGAACCACACUUCCCCCUGGAAGCCAUUCUCCUCACAGUCUCUAAGGGAGAAUCUGUUCCUUCCCUCUUCCAGCUUCUGGUGGCUGCCCACGUUUUUGGCUUGUGACUGCAUCACUCCAAUCUCUGUGACCACAGGCCUUCUCUUGUGUCAUCACAUUGCCUUUUGCUUCCCUAUUAUAAGGACACACCUGACUAUAUCUGGAGUUCAUCCAGAUAAUCCAAGAUAAUCUCCCCAUCUCAUGAUUCUUAACCGUAUCUUCAGAAUCCUUUUUAACAUAUAAGAGAGCAUAUUUUGGAGUACCUGGCAUUCUAUGUCAUGAGAGAAUGAACCAGAAUGGGGCAUAUGCUUCUAUCCUGAAGAUGAGACUGCAGAACUGACUAUAUACACAGUCCUGUGUCACCUAAAGACAGGGACACAUUCUGAGAAAUGCAUCAUGAGGCAGUUUCAUCAUUGUGCGAAUAUCAUGGAGUGUCCUUACACAAAGCUAGACGGUAUAUGCCUACUACAUACCUAGGCUCUAUGGUGUAGCCUAUUGCUCCUAGGUUAUAAACCUGUACAGCAUGUUACUGUACUCAGUACUGUGAGCAAUUAUGACACAAUGAAAGGAACGUAGCCCUGCUCAUACCUUGAUUUUAGCACACUGAGACCUGUGUUAGACUUCAGACCUGUGGAACUGUAAGACAAUGCAUUUGUAUCAUUUUAAGCCACUGUGUUUUUGGCACGGUCUUCCCAUUUCCCAGAUGAAGAAACUGAAGCAAAAAGAUACAUCACUGGCUUAUCUGAUUAGACAUGGCAGAGUGAGGCAUCUGCCCCAGGCAAAUCCAGAUUCUAUGUCCAACUCCAGAGACGAGCUCCAGGAAAUAUAAGCACUUUCCCAGACUCUUUUGCAGCAAGAGGAAGUCAUAUAAUACUGCUAAUGAGAUUUAACUGGAAGUCUACUGGGGGCUCAUCAAGGCAUAUUCUUGCCUUCAACAUGGAUUUGUGACUGCAGUCAUCUUAAGGCAUAAGGGGAAGGCUGAGAGAAUUUUAGAGAUAUCACCCCUGACAUAUGCUGAGCCAUAGAACAAACAUCAACACCUGCUUUCUUCUGAACAUCCAGCUAGAUAAGGAAAAGAUACCUAUAUGUUUGUUUAUAUCACCGCCUUUGAGUUUUCUGCUGCUUGCAAUUAAAAUUAUUCCUCAUU
Macaca mulatta (Rhesus monkey) is the source of this 1586-nucleotide non-coding RNA. The record is from RefSeq and is a predicted model, not a curated record. Lineage: Eukaryota; Metazoa; Chordata; Mammalia; Primates; Cercopithecidae.